CGGGAUCUGCCCGGCACGAGCCGUUCGAACAUCCCUGAGGCUAUAAGCAAUCCAAUGGGGUCUGUCCCUGCCCGGACCGUGGUCCGACGCACAUGGUCCCCACCUGACGUCGAGGCGUCAGAGGAUUUCUAGGCAACGACCCAAGGUGGACCCGUC
RNAcentral lists this small RNA (156 nucleotides) under Novosphingobium sp. PhB55. RNAcentral's name for it is "6S / SsrS RNA". Lineage: Bacteria; Pseudomonadati; Pseudomonadota; Alphaproteobacteria; Sphingomonadales; Sphingomonadaceae. RNAcentral also lists the same sequence under 1 other name. The record is from RNAcentral.